GCAAAUCUCAAAAAAACAAAUCUCAGUUCAGACUGCAGGCUGCAACUCGCCUGCACGAAGUCGGAAUUGCUAGUAAUCGUAGGUCAGCAUACUACGGUGAAUACGUUCCCGGGCCUUGUACACACCGCCCGUCAAACCAUGAGAGUUGGCAACACCCGAAGUCGGUAGUCUAACCGCAAGGAGGACGCCGCCGAAGGUGGGGUUGAUGAUUAGGGUUAAGUCGUAACAAGGUAUC
Molecule: ribosomal RNA, 235 nt
Filed under: uncultured bacterium
Lineage: Bacteria
Description: partial 16S ribosomal RNA
Rfam family: Bacterial small subunit ribosomal RNA
Source: RNAcentral